AUUGAACGCUGGCGGCAGGCCUAACACAUGCAAGUCGAACGAGUGGCGGACGGGUGAGUAAUGUAUGGGAAUCUGCCUGAUGGAGGGGGAUAACUACUGGAAACGGUAGCUAAUACCGCAUACUAUCGGAUGUGCCCAGAUGGGAUUAGCUAGUAGGUGGGGUAAAGGCUCACCUAGGCGACGAUCUCUAGCUGGUCUGAGAGGAUGAUCAGCCAAACGGGAACGGAGACACGGUCCAGACUCCUACGGGAGGCAGCAGUGGGGAAUAUUGCACAAGGGGGGCAAGCCUGAUGCAGCCAUGCCGCGUGUAUGAAGAAGGCCUUCGGGUUGUAAAGUACUUUCAGCGGGGAGGCGUUACCCGCAGAAGAAGCACCGGCUAACUCCGUGCCAGCAGCCGCGGUAAUAC
RNAcentral lists this ribosomal RNA (406 nucleotides) under uncultured bacterium. Its description in RNAcentral is "partial 16S ribosomal RNA". It matches the Rfam family "Bacterial small subunit ribosomal RNA", at positions 30 to 526 of the family's 1533-position model. The record is from RNAcentral.